UUCCGUAGGUGAACCUGCGGAAGGAUCAUUCGCACAUAAUCCAAUCACAUUCCUGUGAACUUGUUGGUGAGGGUCUGUGCGAUAGGCGUGCCUUCGCGGGUGCUGCCUUCGCGCAGAUGCUCAAGGGUGGUGGGGCGAGCUUCGGAACGUCCUCCGACUCGUUCCCACUGCCAGUUCUCGCUGCAAAGCAACUUUGAAAACAUCUUUUCAACUUCGAGUCGAUGGCUCUCCUGAGCCACGUCUAAUUACUCACAACUUUCAGCGAUGGAUGUCUCGGUUCGAUCAACGAUGAAGGGCGCAGCGAAGUGCGAUAAGCAUUGUGAAUUGCAGAAUUCCGUGAACCGACAGGGACUUGAACGCAUAUUGUGCUUUUGGGAUAUCCCUGAAAGCAUGCCUGCUUCAGUGUCUACGCUUUGUUGUUCCAGCAGCUGUAGCCCUUUGCGGGGCAUGCUGCUUGUGAUCUCUUGCGCCUCAGGACGCGCUCUCUCGGCGCUCUUGAGGUGUUCGAUGGACAAGGCUCUGCUUCGACAGCCAGCUUACUGAGCGCACUUCGGUGUCAUUUGGUUGCUGUGCGACGUUGUAGCUUGGGGCUUUGCUCUCCUUUUCCUGUUACGCCCCUCACAGGGCGUUUCAGCAUUCAAGACAUGAAGUCAGGUUGGCAAACCCGCUGAAUUUAAGCAUAUCA
RNAcentral lists this ribosomal RNA (685 nucleotides) under uncultured eukaryote. RNAcentral describes it as "eukaryotic LSU rRNA". The stretch from base 254 to 408 matches the Rfam family "5.8S ribosomal RNA". The record is from RNAcentral.